AGAGCAUGUGGGAAGUGUAGUUUCGACAUCUCCGGCCAGGAGGAGAAUGGAGUGGAAAUGGGGAAUGCUAAUUCACAUCAUCCAUCACACAGAGAUGCCAUUAAAUGGCCUGAUGAAGGAAGGCUGGUCAGACUCGUUUUCAUCCUCCAUGCUCCCCAGUGAUAAUCUGAUUUGCGUGCAGAAGGAACUGAUUGCUGCGCUCACCUGUGACCACCCAGCUCAAGACAAUAGACUUGCCUCCUGCUACGCCCGCCAAGAUAGCAGACCCACAACCUGCUGUGUCCAUCAAGCGCUGUGCUGACAGGGCAAUCUUGAAAAAAGUAGGAGAAAGAAGAUGCAGAGACAAAGAGAGGAGCUCACAGUGAGUAGAAAUCAGUAUUUUCUCUCUUUGUCAUCUGUAAGUGGCAAUAUUGCUUUCAUGGGAAGGCAGACUUUUUAUUUUGCUUCUGGAUUUUUCUGGCAAUGAUACAGCUUUAG
RNAcentral lists this long non-coding RNA (477 nucleotides) under Equus caballus (horse). Its description in RNAcentral is "lncRNA (ENSECAG00000057894.1)". The record is from RNAcentral. Lineage: Eukaryota; Metazoa; Chordata; Mammalia; Perissodactyla; Equidae.